Molecule: long non-coding RNA, 5263 nt
Filed under: Homo sapiens (human)
Lineage: Eukaryota; Metazoa; Chordata; Mammalia; Primates; Hominidae
Description: HSALNT0330948
Source: RNAcentral
AUCCUCCUGCCUCAGCCUCCCAAAACGCUGGGAUUACAGGCACGAGCCACCACGGCCAGCCCAUGACUUAUCUUUAAAUCCCAGUAGGUAGCCCAAUGCCUGGCACUUGGUUGGCCCUCAGGAUACUUUUCUUGGAGUAGCCAUAAAUAAGUGGGUGCCCCAGGGAGGUUGGGAUGAGCAAUACUGAGAAGUUUAAGGCACAGUUCUCCUGCCAAAGCGGUUGGUCUCUUUCCACCGUCACCUGGUUUCCCUGGAUCAGCUAUUACAUCUCAUUAAUAUCUUAUAUUUCAUUUUCUUUGUAGUUCCCUUGCAAUGUUUCCCAAUGUGUGUCCUGUGGGACAAUAGUUCAGUGGAAUAUUAAUUAAGUAUUAUAGUGCAAAGGGAUUCUGAGAUCAAGUGAGUUUGGGAAAUAGCAAGUUAAAGAAAAGGAAGCAGGUUUAUUUGCUGAGGGACUUAUCAGAGCCUUUCAUGUGUUCAUGGAUGUUGUUACCAUCCACAAAGGUAACAGGGGCUUUCGUGUUUCCCACACCUUUUUGACCUUGAAAUCAUUAUUUUUUCCCCUUUGAGUAUCUCACAGGACUAGUGUUCUGAGGAGCAGUACACUGAGAAAUGGUCCUCUAGACAGAGAGGAAAUGCUGUCUUCCCCCUUUAUUGGCUAUGUGGGAUUCGUAUAAUUUGCUUAUUUGUCGGAUCCAUUAUUGCUGGGUGUGGGAGAGCAGGCAUGUGUUAGACUGUCCAUCUUCAGAGAGGUUUCCUGCUCUUCCUGUUCGUCCAGUAGUUAUGGGCUGUGAUUGUUAUGGUGAUAGCAGGGAGGCUGCAGACCCCAGAGGGGAUUAGGCAUAUCUGUGUGUAAACUUUGGGCAAUGUCUUUCUUUCAACUGGGCUUGAAUCACAGCAUUGCAUACCCUAAGAAAACAUCAUGAGGUAUAUAAAGUUCCCAUACUCCCAUUAAGUGGCCUGGUUUUCGUCUUUAAGUAUGGUGGGGCUGGUAGGAGUAGAACACGGGAUGAUGUAUCACUUCUCCUGGGUUUCUCAACCUCAGCACGACUGACAUUUGGAUGGGAUCAUUGUUUGUGGGGUCUGUCCUGUGCCUUGUAGGAUAUUUGGCGGCAUCCCUGGCUUCUACCCACUAGAUGUCAGUAGCACGUAUCAUCCCUCCUGCCUCCCCAUUGUGACAACCCAAAAUGUAGGCAGACAUUGCCAAGUGUCCUCUAGGGGACAAAAUCCCUCUCCCAUUGAGAACCACUGCUUUAAGAGAAGAUUACCCAAAGUCUGUGCAAGGCUUUUGGAAUACUCUUGGAAGGAUUUUUAUCAUACUCUUGGAAGAAGGAAGUAGUGCUAUCAUGCUCAAAGCAUGGUCUGAGAGCCUAUAAGACGUGCCAGCUAAUGAAACUCUCCCCUGGGGUGUUUUCGUAACUCAUCCUUAAGGCUCGUAUAUCUGUUGAGUUUCUUGGUUGCAAGUUACAGAAAACCCAAUCCAAAAUGGUCUAAGCCAGAAAAUGAAUUUUUUGGCUGUGGUAACUGAAGAGUCCGACACAGUGCUAACUUUAGGCACAGCUGGAUCCAGGUGCUUAAGCAGUGUUAUCAAGAAACAAGAAUUUUUCCAAAUCUUUGCUCUGAUUUCCUCAUUAUUGAUAUCAUUCUCAGACAGGCUCUUCCCAUGUGGCAGUGAGAAAGCUGCCAGCAGCUCCGGCCUACUCCUCACUAGAACAGAUCUGGUGGAAAGGGAAAGCUUCUCUUCCCUCAUGGUUUGAAUGCAAGUCCUGGAUCUGAUUCCCAUUGGCCUGGGAUACUACGCUAUUCUCAUUAGCUGUGCCGGGUUCACACGCCUGUCCCUGGAGCCUGGGGAGGAGCCAACACCAACGGAACCAUUUGGUGGGGAACAGGAGAGGAAUGGUUCUUUAGAGGCAAACGGGGCAGUUACUUGAAGAGAGGUCAGCGGAUGCUGGUCAGACAAGCACCUCUAUUGCCUCAUUCAUAAAAAUAACUAAACGACAGCCAAUAACGGCAGCUCCCACUUGUCGAACAUGAAUUCUGUACCAGACCCUACCUAUACUGCGUGAUCGCUAAUCACCACCAGCAUCCUGAGAGGCAGCUGUUGUCAACCUAUUUUACAGAUGGGUAAGUGGAGUCUCAGAGGCAGAUGAAAUGACUUGGCUGAAGUCACAGAGUGGGGCAGUGGCUGAGCCACAGACCGGAGGCAUCCUUUUACCUCCUCUAGGACACCCUCUGUAACUGACUUUCUUCCUGCUGCAAUCCAAAAGGUCUCCCAAGGUCGCCUGUUGCUAUUUUGGAAAGAGGUGGACAGAUACUGGAGGGCCACUCUUCAGGCCACUGCCCAAUCUUUUCUUGUCAAUUUGAUGUCAGCUUGUGCCAAUCAUCCCUGAAGGGCCAUUCUGACACAGCAAGUAAGGGAAAGCUUGGCCGGCGUUUUCUGGUUUGGCUCUGUUCUGCCUGCUUGGUCCAUUUUCCUCACCUCCGUUUUUGCCCGUUGCCGCUGUUUUUAUCUUCCAUCCCCCCAGGGAGCCUGCAGAGGGUGCAUUAGUAAUAAAGCUAACAUUUCCAGAGAGAGAGAGAGAUAUCAAGGAAUUUCCAUGACAUGAUUUCAUGAAGUUUUCUCAAAUAUCAUAUCAAGUAGACACUACUAUUAUCCCCAUUUUACAGAUGGAGCAACUGAGGCCUGGAGAGGCUAGAGGACUUGCCCAAGGUUGCCCAGCCAGCAGAUGGGAGAACUGGUGUUUGAAUCCAGGCAGGACCCAUUGCUUUUAUUACGGAGAACCAUCACUCGGAUUAUCAUGAAACCCGAGCGUGUGCGCAUGAGAAUCACAGAGUGGCCAAGAGUGAGGACGUUGACACUACACAGACCUGGGGCAGACCCGGCCCUGCUGCUGAGUGGUUGACUGGCCCCAGGUGAGUUCUGUAACUUCCAUGAGCCUCAGGGUCCUCAUCUGCAAGAUGGGAGGAAAGAGGAGAUCACAGGAAUUUUGUGAGGAAUAAAUAAAAGAAUGUAUAGAAAGCACAGAGCCUGUGUCUGGCAUGCAAGACUUGUUGAGUAAAUGUUAACUUUUCCUGUUUUACUGUGAAGUGGCAACAUGAGGUCCUGCACACAGCCAGGGUUCAGUGAAUAUGGCUAAGCCCAGAGUCCUUAUUGGGAGAAAGUGGCCAGAAACCAGGCUCAAACUCCAGUGCCUCAACUUCCUAAGCGUAUGCAGCUUGAAAGAACAUUACACCCCCUCAAAGGGGGUAAAGUCAGUGUGGGGGAUGACACUUCCCUUCAGGUUUGCUGGGGGAUGAGACGCUGCCUGUAAAGUGCUCAGCACAUAGUAGGUGCACAACAAAGUUAUUGUUCAUGUUGAGAACUAGUCUCAUGCCCAGACUGGGCUCACCUCAGAGGGGUCACACACAUUCCUUUUCUUCUGGGAAAUCAAGGUGAACUGGAUGAAUGGCUCAGCACCUUCUCACAUGCAGACCUGCUGGGAGUGGGAGGUGGACCUACGGGGUUCUGCACCAUCUGGAGCUCAUUUCAUGGACAGAAAGGAAACAGAAAGGCAGGCACGCUCUCCUGAGGGCCUACUAUGUCCAGAUGCUUUGCUUAAACAGAGAAUAUUUAUUUCUCAGUCACAAACUCAGGUGUGCAAAAAUGCAACUUUGUGUCCAGAACGCAGUUAACUCUGGUUUCCCACCCACUCCAUGUGCCUCACCACAGGCUGCUUAAUCCAGUUCUCUUCUGGCUGGAACUCAGGGAUUUAAGCUCUGAUUUGGGUUUGUAAUUCAGGUUUCCUCCUCCCUCUCUGGGUGGUGGAGGUGGGAUGCGGGGGAUGGGGGGCUCUCUUCUGGCUCUGCCCCUUCUCUCCAGCCUGGCUCCCUGGGUCUGAUGACUGCUCUACCAAACGGUGGCCUUGACCUCUGUCUGGUGCUGGCCCUGGAGCCCCGUGAGAUGUCAGCCUGGAUGUAGUGGGAGGUCUGCAGGAGCCCCGCUCAGGAAAUGCGGAUCCCUUGAGGCCCUCUGCAGGUUUUCACAGGCGCUGACACCCAGCGCUUUCAUCCUGUGUCCCAGGGUGGGAACAUCUGCAUCCCCAUAUUUCAGGAGUGCCGUUGCCUGUGCACCCACAAGAGGUCUCAUCUUAUCCUGGCAACAGCCUGUAGGGUUGGGAGCAGCUGCGAGCCAUUUGUGCAGGAGUGCCCGGGGAGAUGGUUACGUGCUUCAUCAUUCAAGCUUGCCCUCCCUCUCCUAGGUAGCACUGCCUUGAAACUACUCCUAGCAAGAAACACAGCUUCUGAUCAUGGGAGAACCUAUUUGCAUCACAGUUCACAAACAUGCUUUUAGACACUCUCCACUUCAGUGGAGGAAACAGAGCCCCAGCGAGGGGAAGAGACUUACCCAAGUCACGUAGCUAAGAGGCAAAAUCAGGAUUCAGACUCAGCCUCCCAGCGCUCACUCCACAGUGCCUUGUUGGCCCAGCCCUAGAAGGCCUCCUGGCUGGAGGCCAUUGCCUGAGCCUGGGGAUGACACAUAUGUCCACUGGAUGUCAUGAUUUCUCUACUGAAGCUAGCUGGACCUUCUUGGCAGUGACAUAGGAUUUUCCCCCUUCCUGGGGCAAAGCAGUCUCAUAUGGGACACUCAGGUGGUGGCUCUCCCUCCUUUUGGCUCAAAGACAGGAGGUAAGGCCUGCAUCCUGUUUUCCUAGGGUGGGGAAAGUCUGCACACAGGUGGAUCCACUCUUUCCUGGGGACCUGGGAUCAUUGCAGCCUUCUCCACCCCACAGGCCCCUCCACAGCCUCUGCCCAAAUCCCCUUUCCCGGACUCCAAGUUGUAUCACCUUAGUUAACGCUUCAUUCCCCAGGUGUCUAAGAAAAAAAUGUUCUCCCCAUGCAGUUUCUCCACCUGGGAAACAGGCGGCCUUCUCUCUCUCUACGUCAUCAAGUCAGUGCAGAGCGCAUGGAGCAGCAACGCCCUGCCCAGCUCUGGGCUGCCCGCUGCGUGCUGAGGAUCCAGAGACAAACCAGCCAUGCUCCUGGCUGAGCGGAAGGUCCUCCCGAGCCUGCACAGUCUGAACUUGCUGAGCAGCCUGAGCUGGCGAAGAUGCCCUCCUUUAGAGGAGCGUGCAGACUUGAUAAGGGAAACAGAUGGGCCAACAGAUAAUUCCCAGCAGAGGUGUGUUCAAACAUGAGCCCUGGGGACUAGGUACUAAGCAGAUGGAGGAACAGAGAUGUAAGUAACUUACCCAAGAUCACACAGCCAGCAGAUCUGCACCGAGGCAGU